Molecule: unclassified non-coding RNA, 379 nt
Filed under: soil metagenome
Description: partial contains 5.8S ribosomal RNA, internal transcribed spacer 2, and large subunit ribosomal RNA
Rfam family: 5.8S ribosomal RNA (bases 1-120)
Source: RNAcentral
GAUGAAGAACGUAGUGAAAUGCGAUAAGUAAUGUGAAUUGCAGAGUUCAGUGAAUCAUCGAAUCUUUGAACGCACAUUGCGCCCGUCAGUAUUCUGGCGGGCAUGCCUGUUCGAGCGUCAUUUCAACCCUCAAGCCCCAGCGGCCUGGUGUUGGGGACCGGCGACCUCGCCCGAGCCCGCCCUCCGGGGCGCGUGCCCGGUGCGUCCGCCGCCCCCGAAAUGAAUUGGCGGCCUCGUCGCGGCCUCCUCUGCGUAGUAGCACAACCUCGCAAGCGGGAGCGCGACGCGGCCACUGCCGUAAAACGCCCAACUUUUUUAGAGUUGACCUCGGAUCAGGUAGGAAUACCCGCUGAACUUAAGCAUAUCAAUAAGCGGAGGA